UGCCAUCCAUCGGCAUGUUUGAGACGAGAAGCUCCCAUCAGCGUGACAUCGUCUGAGAUAAGCUAGCUUAUGGAAGUAGGUAAGCUCCCUAAACAGAAUUAUUCCUUUUUUUAAAAAAAAACUCAACUCGACUGAACUCAGGCCAUAGAAUACAAAGCAACAGUAUUGUAAUCUUAUCCCCACCCUAGGAAUCCCUCUCGCUCGGGGCACAACAUGCACGAUAUGAUCG
Molecule: long non-coding RNA, 229 nt
Filed under: Setaria italica (foxtail millet)
Lineage: Eukaryota; Viridiplantae; Streptophyta; Magnoliopsida; Poales; Poaceae
Description: long non-coding RNA (SITA_LNC007238)
Source: RNAcentral